GAUGAAGAACGUAGCGAAAUGCGAUAAGUAAUGUGAAUUGCAGAAUUCAGUGAAUCAUCGAAUCUUUGAACGCACAUUGCGCCCCCUGGUAUUCCGGGGGGCAUGCCUGUUCGAGCGUCAUUUCACCACUCAAGCCUCGCUUGGUAUUGGGCAACGCGGUCCGCCGCGUGCCUCAAAUCGUCCGGCUGGGUCUUCUGUCCCCUAAGCGUUGUGGAAACUAUUCGCUAAAGGGUGUUCGGGAGGCUACGCCGUAAAACAACCCCAUUUCUAAGGUUGACCUCGGAUCAGGUAGGGAUACCCGCUGAACUUAAGAAUAUCAAUAAGCGGAGGA
This 331-nucleotide unclassified non-coding RNA is filed under the name soil metagenome. Its description in RNAcentral is "partial contains 5.8S ribosomal RNA, internal transcribed spacer 2, and large subunit ribosomal RNA". The stretch from base 1 to 120 matches the Rfam family "5.8S ribosomal RNA", at positions 35 to 154 of the family's 154-position model. The record is from RNAcentral.